UACAGAGGGUGCGAGCGUUAAUCGGAUUUACUGGGCGUAAAGGGCGCGUAGGCGGUGAGAUGAGUGUGAUGUGAAAGCCCCGGGCUCAACCUGGGAAGUGCAUUGCAAACGAUCUGACUGGAGUAGAUGAGAGGGUGGCGGAAUUUCUGGUGUAGCGGUGAAAUGCGUAGAGAUCAGAAGGAACGUCGAUGGCGAAGGCAGCCACCUGGCAUCAUACUGACGCUGAGGCGCGAAAGCGUGGGGAGCGAACAGG
This 253-nucleotide ribosomal RNA is filed under the name uncultured bacterium. RNAcentral describes it as "partial 16S ribosomal RNA". It matches the Rfam family "Bacterial small subunit ribosomal RNA", at positions 524 to 776 of the family's 1533-position model. The record is from RNAcentral.